GACGAACGCUGGCGGCGUGCUUAACACAUGCAAGUCGAACGGAAAGGCCCUGCUUUUGUGGGGUGCUCGAGUGGCGAACGGGUGAGUAACACGUGAGUAACCUGCCCUUGACUUUGGGAUAACUUCAGGAAACUGGGGCUAAUACCGGAUAGGAGCUCCUGCUGCAUGGUGGGGGUUGGAAAGUUUCGGCGGUUGGGGAUGGACUCGCGGCUUAUCAGCUUGUUGGUGGGGUAGUGGCUUACCAAGGCUUUGACGGGUAGCCGGCCUGAGAGGGUGGCCGGGCACAUGGGUACUGAGAGACGGCGCAGACGGCUACGGGAGGCAGCAGUCGGAAGUAUUGCACAGUGGGCGCGAGCCAGAUGCAGCAGCGCCGCGUGCGGAAUGACGGGCUUCGAGUGGUAAACCGCUUUCGCCUGUGACGUGGCGUGCGUGACGGUACUGAGUAAGAAAGCACCGGCUAACUACGUG
This 468-nucleotide ribosomal RNA is filed under the name uncultured bacterium. Its description in RNAcentral is "partial 16S ribosomal RNA". It matches the Rfam family "Bacterial small subunit ribosomal RNA", at positions 28 to 507 of the family's 1533-position model. The record is from RNAcentral.